UAUUACCGCGGCUGCUGGCACGGAGUUAGCCGAUGCUGAUUCCUCAGGUACCUUCACUUUCUUAUUCCCUGAGAAAAGAGGUUUACAACCCAAGAGCCUUCCUCCCUCACGCGGUAUUGCUCCGUCAGGCUUUCGCCCAUUGCGGAAAAUUCCCCACUGCUGCCUCCCGUAGGAGUCUGGGCCGUGUCUCAGUCCCAGUGUGGCUGGUCAUCCUCUCAGACCAGCUACUGAUCGUCGCCUAGGUGCGCUCUUACCACACCUAUUAGCUAAUCAGACGCGAGCUCAUCAAAAGGCGAUUAAUCUUUCACCCACAGGCACAUCCGGUAUUAGCAGUCGUUUCCAACUGUUGUCCCGAACCUUUUGCCAGAUUCUCACGCGUUACUCACCCGUCCGCCACUAAGUUCCGAAGAACUCCGUUCGACUUGCAUGUGUUAAGCAUACCGCCAGCGUUCAUCCUGAGCCAGAAUCAAACUCU
RNAcentral lists this ribosomal RNA (475 nucleotides) under uncultured cyanobacterium. RNAcentral describes it as "partial 16S ribosomal RNA". The record is from RNAcentral. Lineage: Bacteria; Bacillati; Cyanobacteriota.